Long non-coding RNA from Lathyrus oleraceus (garden pea), 318 nucleotides. RefSeq lists it as uncharacterized. The transcript is spliced from 2 exons. Lineage: Eukaryota; Viridiplantae; Streptophyta; Magnoliopsida; Fabales; Fabaceae. The record is from RefSeq and is a predicted model, not a curated record.
GUACAUAACUUCCUUUAUGCACCAAGCUUUGCGUGGAGAUAGAGACCAUGUUGAGUGAACCAAAAGGCUCUUCUACACAAACUAUGCUUGCCCACGAGCAACUUUCAAUUUACGACUUGCUCUCUAAAACAGAACAUUUUUGAUUGGCUUGGUUGGAAAAGAAAUCCUAAAGGUUGGGCCAACGAAACAAAGUGGAUCAUUCAAGAAAUCAAGAAAAAAGAUUGGAGAAGAAAUAGUAGAAACCACAUAUGAUAUUUGAAGAGGUAGAAAUAAUUGUUCUUUUACAAUAUCAAUGAAGCAUUUAUUAUUAUUUUUCCA